UUUGAUCCUGGCUCAGAACGAACGCUGGCGGCGUGCUUAACACAUGCAAGUCGAACGCGAAAGUUUUCUUCGGAAGAUGAGUAGAGUGGCGCACGGGUGAGUAACGCGUAAAUAAUCUACCCCUGCAUCCGGGAUAACCCACCGAAAGGUGUGCUAAUACCGGGUACGUUCUUUUGAUCGCGAGAUUAAAAGAAGAAAGGUGGCCUCUGAUAUAAGCUACUGUGCGGGGAGGAGUUUGCGUACCAUUAGCUAGUUGGUAGGGUAAUGGCCUACCAAGGCAAUGAUGGUUAGCGGGUCUGAGAGGAUGAUCCGCCACACUGGAACUGGAACACGGACCAGACUCCUACGGGAGGCAGCAGUGAGGAAUAUUGCGCAAUGGGGGCAACCCUGACGCAGCGACGCCGCGUGGAUGAUGAAGGCCUUCGGGUCGUAAAAUCCUGUCAGAUGGAAAGAAAUGUAUAUGGAUUAAUAGUCCUUAUGCUUGACGGUACCAUCAAAGGAAGCACCGGCUAACUCCGUGCCAGCAGCCGCGGUAAUACGGAGGGUGCAAGCGUUGUUCGGAAUUACUGGGCGUAAAGCGCGCGUAGGUGGUCUGUUAUGUCAGAUGUGAAAGUCCACGGCUCAACCGUGGAAAGUGCAUUUGAAACUGGCAGACUUGAGUACUGGAGGGGUAGUGGAAAUUCCCGGUGGAGAAGGUGAAAUUUCCUACAUAUCGGGAGGAAAUACACGGUGGCGAACGCUUACUCCCUGGUCUCUAUCACGACACUGGAGGUGCGAAAGCGUGGUAGAACCAAUCUGGAUUACACUACCCUGGAAGUCCACGCCGUU
This 828-nucleotide ribosomal RNA is filed under the name uncultured bacterium. RNAcentral describes it as "bacterial SSU rRNA". It matches the Rfam family "Bacterial small subunit ribosomal RNA", at positions 12 to 804 of the family's 1533-position model. The record is from RNAcentral.